Molecule: long non-coding RNA, 251 nt
Filed under: Gossypium barbadense (sea-island cotton)
Lineage: Eukaryota; Viridiplantae; Streptophyta; Magnoliopsida; Malvales; Malvaceae
Description: long non-coding RNA (GBAR_LNC017584)
Source: RNAcentral
ACGAAUUUUGCUGCCAAUAACAAAAGAGGCAAUCUGAUCUUUAGUAAAGAAAAGGGCGAAUCAGAUUUGGAAUGCUUUGGAACGCCUGAAACGCAACAAGAACAGCAAACAAAGUGAUUAAAUAAAAUCGACACAAGCAGAAUUUAAAAGAAAAAAUUGACAGCAAGAAAUUAAAAGAUAAGUCCUAAGAAGCCUUGAAAUCUCGAAAGAUUCCACAACUCCCUUCAAAUGGCUCUAAUCUCCCCUCCAAA